GACAGAGGGUGCAACCGUCGUUCGGAUUUACUGGGCGUAAAGCGCGUGUAGGCGGCUUUGCAAGUCGGAUGUGAAAGCCCACGGCUCAACCGUGGAAGUGCAUCCGAAACUGCAUGGCUUGAGUCUCGGAGAGGAAGGUGGAAUGCUUGGUGUAGAGGUGAAAUUCGUAGAUAUUCGCAAGAACACCAGUGGCGAAGGCGGCUGACUGGUCCGGUUCUGACGCUGAGGCGCGAAAGCGUGGGGAGCAAACAGG
Molecule: ribosomal RNA, 253 nt
Filed under: uncultured bacterium
Lineage: Bacteria
Description: partial 16S ribosomal RNA
Rfam family: Bacterial small subunit ribosomal RNA
Source: RNAcentral